Molecule: ribosomal RNA, 253 nt
Filed under: uncultured bacterium
Lineage: Bacteria
Description: partial 16S ribosomal RNA
Rfam family: Bacterial small subunit ribosomal RNA
Source: RNAcentral
UACGAACUGUGCGAACGUUAUUCGGAAUCACUGGGCUUAAAGGGUGCGUAGGCGGCGGCACAAGUCAGGUGUGAAAUCCCCCGGCUCAACCGGGGAACAGCGCUUGAAACUAGGUCGCUCGAGUGAGGCAGGGGUGCAUGGAACUUCCGGUGGAGCGGUGAAAUGUGUAGAUAUCGGAAGGAACGCCGGCGGCGAAAGCGGUGCACUGGGCCUUGUCUGACGCUGAGGCACGAAAGCUAGGGGAGCAAACGGG